GAACUCUUUUUCAGCUCUCAAGUCAUAAUUGUUUGUACAUAUAAAACAAAUUUAAAAAGAGUUUUUAAUUCUUCAUUUUGCAGACUUCUGAACUUCAGGUACUUGAUCUUUUAAAGUUAAAAGGCUGGGGAUCAAAUUUUGAGAACUUUAUAUUUGAGGGAAAUUUAUGCGUAAUCCAUUCUGUAAGCAACUAAGUUUUGAAUUUACAUUGCUGUUGAUAAGGAGAUGAUUGCAUCUUUGGCUGUACUAUUUGUCAAUUUUAUCUAAAAUUUUCAAUACUUUUGCGAGAAGUGCGUGUCAAAAUAUUUUAGCAUCUGCUUACCAAUUCUAUCUAAAUUUUCAAUACUUUUGGAGAAAAGUGUGGUAUCAAAUUUUAGUUUCUGCUUAUGGAUAAUUUUUGUCUAGUGGCCUUAGCUUGUUUACAUUUUACCCAUUCAUGCAUUUACUGUUAAAUCAGAAAUGCAUAUUAUGGAUUAGUAAUCCUUUGUAAUUUCUGUGGCAUUCUGCAACUGUGAUUUGUUUAUUGAUAAUUUCUGAUGAAUUGUUAAUCGACAGGGAAG
RNAcentral lists this unclassified non-coding RNA (560 nucleotides) under Hevea brasiliensis (rubber tree). The record is from RNAcentral. Lineage: Eukaryota; Viridiplantae; Streptophyta; Magnoliopsida; Malpighiales; Euphorbiaceae.